This is a long non-coding RNA of Brassica rapa (field mustard), 853 nucleotides long. RefSeq lists it as uncharacterized. The record is from RefSeq and is a predicted model, not a curated record. Lineage: Eukaryota; Viridiplantae; Streptophyta; Magnoliopsida; Brassicales; Brassicaceae.
UAUCUUUAUAUAUAAAGUAGAGUUAUCUCUCUCCUGGACGCGCCACCUCAGCAGCCAGCUCAAAAAGUCAAGCUCUGUGAACGUGACACCUGUCCCAACAUACAAAACUCACCGUUUCCAUGCGUUUUUAUUGCAUCCACUCUACUGUGUCUUUUAAAAAUGGGCUUCCACGAGACACUCUAAUAUGGAUAAUUCUCUCUGGGCCGCUAUCCAACCAAAUGCUAGGCCGUCUCUGAAAUUGCAUGUUGGUCCGGCGCUUUGACAGUAACUUCCAAGCCGUCUCUGUUCAUGUCGUUUCGGUCUCUGUUCUUCACCUCCAACAGUUACAAAUCGAAUUGAUUAUCAUUAAUGGCCUCUAAAACCACGAUCUUGCAUUCACUGAUUCUUAUUGUUCAUUCAGGCGGUCAUUCUCACCUAUAAAUAAGUAAGGAUUCAUCCCUUUAGCAUCAUCUUCAAAGUUAUCUCACAUCUCUCAGCACUUCCUCAACGAGCAUGAGCAUGACGUUAUUCCUCCACCUCAAAAUCAGAAGAUACAACAACUUUUUAUGAUUGAAGGAAGACAAACAAGGGCUACAAGGCUUUAGCAAAUUUUUGAGAUUUUAGAAAACGGCAAGAAGAGAAGGUUACAGAGGAUCUAGGUUUUGUGUAGAGAAGAAAAGCAUAACAGUGAGAAGAUAUUACAGAGAUGUAUGACGGCGAGCAUAGGAGAUGUUGUUUUGUGCGGCUGAGAAAGAAAAAGAUUCAAUACCGCAGACUAUAAUGUUUAAUCUAGGGUUUUUUUCUAUUUAAUGGUGGGUUAGUUUAAUUACAUAUUAGGUUUAUUAUUGUUCGAUGGACUUCUGUAACUUAGAUG